Long non-coding RNA from Salvia splendens (bonfire salvia), 344 nucleotides. RefSeq lists it as uncharacterized. The record is from RefSeq and is a predicted model, not a curated record. The transcript is spliced from 2 exons. NCBI's taxonomy places the organism in Eukaryota, Viridiplantae, Streptophyta, Magnoliopsida, Lamiales, Lamiaceae.
GAAUAGGAAGAAAGGCAGCCUUGUUCUGGUGAAUUCUUGCAGGAGUUGAACGUGAUUUGGGAAGGAACCGUGGAAGCGGCGUGGUAGAUUAGGGUAGAAAGACUAAGAUUUAUAAGAAAAUUUGUGAUGAUGGGAGGAGAGGAAGACGCAUGAACACGGAGGAGGAGAAAUCCUUUGCUAAUUUUUUAUUUUAUUAUUUUCUUCUUUCCUCAAUUGUAAUCAAGGAAGAGGUUUAGGGAAAAGGGAAAAGGGAAAAGGGAAAAGGGAAAACAGUUUUUUUUAACGUGUGUUGAGGGAGGUUUUCGGAUUCUUCCUCUUUUUUGAAUUAAAUUGAAUUUGGUUAA